This 1361-nucleotide ribosomal RNA is filed under the name Vibrio sp. S3854. Its description in RNAcentral is "bacterial SSU rRNA". It matches the Rfam family "Bacterial small subunit ribosomal RNA", at positions 34 to 1374 of the family's 1533-position model. The record is from RNAcentral. Lineage: Bacteria; Pseudomonadati; Pseudomonadota; Gammaproteobacteria; Vibrionales; Vibrionaceae.
CGCUGGCGGCAGGCCUAACACAUGCAAGUCGAGCGGAAACGAGUUAUCUGAACCUUCGGGGAACGAUAACGGCGUCGAGCGGCGGACGGGUGAGUAAUGCCUAGGAAAUUGCCCUGAUGUGGGGGAUAACCAUUGGAAACGAUGGCUAAUACCGCAUGAUGCCUACGGGCCAAAGAGGGGGACCUUCGGGCCUCUCGCGUCAGGAUAUGCCUAGGUGGGAUUAGCUAGUUGGUGAGGUAAGGGCUCACCAAGGCGACGAUCCCUAGCUGGUCUGAGAGGAUGAUCAGCCACACUGGAACUGAGACACGGUCCAGACUCCUACGGGAGGCAGCAGUGGGGAAUAUUGCACAAUGGGCGCAAGCCUGAUGCAGCCAUGCCGCGUGUGUGAAGAAGGCCUUCGGGUUGUAAAGCACUUUCAGUCGUGAGGAAGGUGGUGUAGUUAAUAGCUGCAUUAUUUGACGUUAGCGACAGAAGAAGCACCGGCUAACUCCGUGCCAGCAGCCGCGGUAAUACGGAGGGUGCGAGCGUUAAUCGGAAUUACUGGGCGUAAAGCGCAUGCAGGUGGUUUGUUAAGUCAGAUGUGAAAGCCCGGGGCUCAACCUCGGAAUAGCAUUUGAAACUGGCAGACUAGAGUACUGUAGAGGGGGGUAGAAUUUCAGGUGUAGCGGUGAAAUGCGUAGAGAUCUGAAGGAAUACCGGUGGCGAAGGCGGCCCCCUGGACAGAUACUGACACUCAGAUGCGAAAGCGUGGGGAGCAAACAGGAUUAGAUACCCUGGUAGUCCACGCCGUAAACGAUGUCUACUUGGAGGUUGUGGCCUUGAGCCGUGGCUUUCGGAGCUAACGCGUUAAGUAGACCGCCUGGGGAGUACGGUCGCAAGAUUAAAACUCAAAUGAAUUGACGGGGGCCCGCACAAGCGGUGGAGCAUGUGGUUUAAUUCGAUGCAACGCGAAGAACCUUACCUACUCUUGACAUCCAGAGAACUUUCCAGAGAUGGAUUGGUGCCUUCGGGAACUCUGAGACAGGUGCUGCAUGGCUGUCGUCAGCUCGUGUUGUGAAAUGUUGGGUUAAGUCCCGCAACGAGCGCAACCCUUAUCCUUGUUUGCCAGCGAGUAAUGUCGGGAACUCCAGGGAGACUGCCGGUGAUAAACCGGAGGAAGGUGGGGACGACGUCAAGUCAUCAUGGCCCUUACGAGUAGGGCUACACACGUGCUACAAUGGCGCAUACAGAGGGCGGCCAACUUGCGAAAGUGAGCGAAUCCCAAAAAGUGCGUCGUAGUCCGGAUUGGAGUCUGCAACUCGACUCCAUGAAGUCGGAAUCGCUAGUAAUCGUGGAUCAGAAUGCCACGGUGAAUACGUUCC